CAGUCGCCGCGGUAAUACGUAGGGUGCAAGCGUUAAUCGGAAUUACUGGGCGUAAAGCGUGCGCAGGCGGUUCUAUAAGACAGAUGUGAAAUCCCCGGGCUCAACCUGGGAACUGCAUUUGUGACUGUAGAGCUGGAGUGCGGCAGAGGGGGAUGGAAUUCCGCGUGUAGCAGUGAAAUGCGUAGAUAUGCGGAGGAACACCGAUGGCGAAGGCAAUCCCCUGGGCCUGCACUGACGCUCAUGCACGAAAGCGUGGGGAGCAAACAGGAUUAGAUACCCGAGUAGUCCCUGUCUCUUAUAC
This 301-nucleotide ribosomal RNA is filed under the name uncultured bacterium. Its description in RNAcentral is "partial 16S ribosomal RNA". It matches the Rfam family "Bacterial small subunit ribosomal RNA", at positions 509 to 807 of the family's 1533-position model. The record is from RNAcentral.